UUCUUUCUCAUCUUCAUUGGUGCAGAGGGAAAAUUUCCUACUUACAGAAGCCCUCGCCUAAGAGGUAUCAAAAUGGAAUGUUGUGUUUUAUCACAACUGAUUCUAAGAACAGAAGCUAAUAACAAAGUCUGUGUGGCCUGGAACACCAGACUUGACUGGACCUACUUGCAAUCUCUUUUCUGACUAAUAAAGUAACUUAAAAAAAUUAACCCUGUAAAGACCAAUGGACUCAAUCCUUUCUAGCUAGAGUGCAAGUUUUUAAUCCUCGAACUAGCAAAAUAACUAAGAGCAUCCCACUUGCUAUCAAUACUUAAUGAUUUCUUUUUUAUUUCCAGCUCACUACUCAGAGUAUUUCUCCACUGGUGCAUGUCUUCUUGCCUGGAAAGUUAAUAAAAUUGGCUUUGUAUCUUUUUAAAGCCUUGGUGUCAUUUGUUUUGCUCUUUGACAAGAAAACCCCAGCUCUAGAUUGGUUUAGUCUCUCUCCUUUAAAUCUUGAUUGAAAUAGCUGAAAAACACUAAAGAAAAAAAAAACCACACUAACUCACGUAUUAUCAUCACUAUAAUAUGUAUAAAUAACACCCCAAUUGGUUAGUUUCAGUAGCUGGCUCUACUGAGAUUAUCUCAAACCCUAUAGAUAACUUCCCAAGUCAAUGGUCUAAUCUUCUUCUACCCCAAUUAAACACAGAGAAUCUUGACACUGGUGCCCAGUUACUACCAUUUCUUAGAAUUUUACAUUCCUUUGAUGGCCAUGAUUCUCUCUUUAUCGUAUCGCUUCUUUUCUACUCACCCCUUAAACCAGAGCUCCUCUUCAAGAUUUCAUCCUUACAAACUUUUCUAAUGAUGUCCUCUCUCCAAGGGCCUCUAUUUUUACGAGGCAAUUCUCACACCUUUCAAGUCCAGGUCUCCAUACAAGAACUCCCUUUUGAUUUCUAGACCUAACCAUUCAACUGUCUGUUGGACAGACUUGUGAUCACAUUCUGGGUGGGAAGGAAAGAAGGGCCUUCUAGGAGCUCUGUGCAGGGAAAGGGCUGAGCAGGUGGGUGAGUCAGUCAAGAAGGCAGGUGGUGGGAGGGCUAGUGGAACGAAUGGGCCAUUACAGCCUUGGUGGGCAUAUGAAGGCCUCUGCGUUUUACCUGGAAAAUUCGGAGACUGAUUUAGGCUUUGAAAGAAUAGCUAAGGAUAAAGCCACGGAGAGUAGGCGGGAGGUAAGAGCAAUAACCCAGGCAAACGGUUCAGGGGGAUUUUUUAAUCUAAAAUUCAGAGGGGGGGGCUUGUUUUCAAGCUUUUUCUUAGGAGUUAUAAAAUUUUUGCAUCUAAAGUAAAAUAAAAUAUGGUCUCUAUAAAUUAUUAUGAAUUUCAACUUAAUUUAACUUUGUUCUAAUUCUCAGUCCUAAAUUAGAAUGUUCCAUUUUUAACUCACUCUAAAUUCUGUCUCAGCAGUUAAGCUCUCCCGAAUCUGGUUCAACUCUUGGCCCUCAGGCCAACCCAGUGUCCCAAGUCUUCAGAGGCAAUGGACAUUUUUAGUUUUGGGAAUCAGGCCUUUGCCUUUCUUAUUUAUGGCUCUCUAUUGAAGUGCUUGUAAUUCCGUAUAGAUUUCAUUUUAGUUUUCUGUCCUUUUUUACUUCCAUAUAGAAAGUAUGGUUCUAUUUGUUAACUCCUUUGUUGGGAAUGUACAAAUAUUUAUUUUAUGUUUACAUCUUCACCAGUCAGAAGAGUGACACAAGCCCUCUCGUCUCUCUCUCAUUCAGAGCUUAUUUGAACAAUUUCUUUCUUCUUUCCUUCUUUCUUUCCUUCUUCCUUUCUUUCUUUCUUCCUUCCUUCCUUCCUUCCUUCCUUCCUUCCUUCCUUCCUUCCUUCCUUCCUUCCUUCCUUCCUUCCUUCCUUCCUUCCUUCCUUCCUUCCUUCCUUCCUUCCUUCCUUCCUUCCUUCCUUCCUUAAAAAUUUUUUUUUUUUUUUUUUUUGUCUUUUUAGGGCCGCCUGUGGCAUAUGGAGGUUCCCAGGCAAGGGGUCGAAUCCGAACUGUUCUACAUCACAGCCACAGCCACAUGGGAUCAGAGCUGUGUCUGCGACCUGCACCACAGUUCAUGGCAACACCAGAUCCUUAACCCACUGAAAUUAAAAUAAGGAUUCUGAACAUAAGUUGUUUCCAUAUGAUCAUGAAUACUUUUAGUGACAAUAAAGGAUAUAAUGAAUUUUACCAAUAUUACAUAGUCUUCUUGGGAAAUAUUUUUCCUCAGUUGAAAAUGUUAAAGCAGGCACUCUUAAUGUGACACAGUGUCUUGAUUUUUGUUUUGUUUUGUUUUGUUUUGUUUUGUUUCUUUUUAUGGCUGCAUUUGUGGCAUAUGGAGGUUUCCAGGCUAGGGGUCGAAUUGGAGCUAUAGCUGCCAGCCUAGGCCAAAACCACAGCAAAGCAGGAGCUGAGCUGCGUCUUUGACCUACACCACAGCCCAGAGCAACACCGGAUCCUUAACCCACUGAGUGAGGCCAGAGAUCAAACCUGCAUCCUCAAGGAUACUAGUCAGAUGUAUUACGACUGAGCCACAGUGGGAACUCUUGGUAUGUUGAUUUUAAAGCAUGUUGCAAACUAUUAAAUACAACACCCAUCCUUACAUCUUCUUUGGAGAGAUGUCUAUUCAGGUCUCCCGCCUAUUUCUCAACUGGGUGGUGGUUGUUGUUGUUUUUGUUUUCUGUUGAGCUGAAUAAGUUGUUUGCAUACUUUAGAGAUUAAGCCCUUGUCAGUUGCAUCCUUUGAAGAAAUUUUCUCCCAUUCUGUAGGCUGUCUUUUUUUUUUUUUUUUUAAUGGUUUUCUUUGCUGUGCGGAAGCUUGCCAGUUUGAUAAGGUUCCCCUGGUUUAUUUUUGCUUUUAUUUUUCUUCUCUUGGGAGACUGACCUAGGAAAGCAUGUGUAUGGUUGGUGUCAGAGAAUGUUUUGCUUAUGUUCUCUUACAGGAGUUUGAUGGUGUCUUGUCUUACAGUUCAGUCUUUAAGCCAUUUUGAGUUUAUUUUUGUGCAUGGUGUGAGGGUGUGUUCCAGUUUCACUGAUUUACAUGCGGCUAUCCAGUUUUCCUAGCACCACUUGCUGAAAAGACUUUUUCCCAUUUUAUAUUCUCACCUCCUUUCCCAAAGAUUAACUGACCAUAGGUAUCUGUCAACAUCACUAAUUAUUAGAGAAAUGCAUAUCAAAACUAUUAUGAAAUACUACCUUACAGGGGUCAGAACAGCCAUCAUUAACAAAUCAACAAAUAACAAAUGCUGGAGAGGGUGUUGAGAAAAGGGUAACCUCCUACACUGUUGGUGGGAAUGUAAAUUGGUACAACCACUAUGGACAAAAGUAUGGCGGUACCUCAGAAAAUUAAAUAUAGAACAACCAUAUGACCCAGCAAUCUCAUUAUUGGGCAUAUGUCCAGACAAAAUUUUUAUUGUGAAUACACAUGCACUCACAUGUUCAUUGCAGCACUAUCCACAAGAGCCAAGACAUGGAAACAACCUAAAUGUCCAUCGACAGAUGAAUGGAUUAAGAAGAUGUGGUGUAUAUACACAAUGGAAUACUACUCAGCCAUAAAAAAGAACAAAAUCAUGCUAUUUGCAGCAACAUGGAUGGAACUAGAGACUCUCAUACUAAGUGAAGUAAGUCAGAAAGAGAAAGACAAAUACCAUAUGAUAUCACUUCUAUCUGGAAUCUAAUAUACAGCACAAAUGAACCUUGCCACAGAAAAGAAACUCAUGGACUUGGAGAACAGACUUGUGGUUGCCAAGGGAGAGGGGGAGGGAGUGGGAUGGUCUGAGAGUUAACAGAUGCAAACUAUUACAUUUACAGUGGAUAAGCAAUGAGAUCCUGCUAUAUAGCACAGAGAACCAUAUCUAGUUACUUGUGAUGGAGCAUGGUGGAGGAUCAUGUGAGAAAAAAAAUAUAUAUGUAUGACUGGGUCAUUUUGCUGUACAGCAGAAAUUGACAGAACACUGUAAAUAAAUUAUAAUGGAAAAAUAAAAAUCUUAAAAAAAAAACAGCCAUUGAAAGGUAGGGUCCAUAUGCCCAUCUCUUGAAUCUGAGCCAACCCUAAUGACACUCCUGUGACCAUCAGACUGCAAUGUGAUGACAAGUGAUUUCAGAGGCAGAGUCAGAAAAGGCUGAGAAGCUUCUGCCUAAUUCUCCUAAGAUGCUUAUUCUAGGAUAAACCAGUUAGGGGCCACAUACAAGGUUUGAAACUCUCUUGGUGGAAAGUCCAGGUCAAUUCUGAUUGACAGCCCAGCUGAGUUCCAGGGAACCACCUGCAUUGACUCCCAUGCAGAUGAGUGAGUCAAACUAGCAAAUACAUCCCAGUCGAGCCUUCAGAUCAUGGUACAGCCCAAGCAAUGUGAUAGACACUAAGUGAAAGCUGCACUGCCAAGUCCUUCUUGAAUUCCUGACCAACAACACUGUGAGAAAAAUUAAAUGACUGUUUUAAGCUGCUAAGCUCAGUGAUAAUUUGGUCAAGCUAAUAACCAUAACACAUGGCUAUUAAAGCCAUUACAUGCUUAAAUGGUCCCCUAUUCAGUGCCACCUGGUCUAGCUUACAGCCUUGUAAGCUAUAUAUUAGUAUUUCCAAGAAGUAGACUUUCACAGAUACAAGUCACAUGUUAAUACAAAGACCUAGUUCUAUUUUCAUUAAAAUGUCCCAAGAACCCUGGAUUUAAGCGUUUUGGAGUGUUGAAGACAAUGAGAAUAAAAAAGAAAAUAGGUUCAUGUGGUCAAUUCCUUUUAUUAGACCCACUGUGUUCUAAAGACUAUUUCUAAUUAUAUAAUGGUUAGGGGGUCAAGGACCUUUGUCUAGCUUUGAGAAUAUUAUCUUCUGUCUUCAUUUCUCAAACUCGAGGAUGUAAGUCAUUCUUAUCUGCCUUGAUCAUGUCUUCUAGAUGAAUCAGAAUUUGUAAGAGAGGACACUAUGAACACCUGUCACUUUAAAAUAUUUUAGGAAAUAAUUUUGAAGGCAGGAGGUUCCAAUUCUUACACGAUAUUAGAAUUAGGUAAGGAGGGGGAUUGGGAAAGCAGAGCUGUUGGGGGGUGGUUCAGGUGGCUGGAGGCUAACUUUUGAUGGAUUUACCUACAGCACCUUUCAAAACUGAGAAACUUUCUAGGGAUCACUUAUUUUUACAAGACCAUGCAAAUAUAUUUUUCUUUUGUGAAAUGUACCCAGUCUCGUCAUAUAAAAUUUAUCAACUGAAUUAAAAUUAUGUUUUGCCAAAGGAAUGGUUGCCAAAGAAACCAAAGGAAUAAAAUUUACUUUCUGCUUUUACAUUUUUGAUAACUUUUCAUUCCUCUUUUAUGAGUCAUACAAUUGCCAUCAGGAGACUCUGGUCAGAGACAAAGGUUCUUUGAACUGGUUGGGACAGACCUUCUCAAAGUGUGGCCUGGGGAGGCCUGUGGGUCCCAGAGACCCUAUCAGAAGAUCUGUGAAGUCGAACUCUUUCCAUAAUGCUGAAGAGACCUUAUUUGCUGUUUUUCAUCUAACUCUCUCAGUGCACUGUGGUGUCUUCUGGAGGCUACAUGGUGUGUGACUGCAACGGACUGCAGGCAGAGCUAUUCACGAAAACCCAACUGUCUUGCUAUGUGUUAAAAAGAUUUGCAAAAAAUGUAAAAUAAUGCCACAUUUCCUACUAUUGUUAAAAGCAUAGUCAUUUUAUGAAAGUAUUAAUAAUGCAUUUUUCUUAAAAACCAUGACCAUGGAAUGGACUUAUUAUUACACAGAAUGAAUUAAUUUUAGAAUUUCUGAGUGUUAACCUCUAAUGCAAAUACUGAUAGACAUAACACAAACAAAUCACUGAGACCCUCCAACAUUUUUUUAAAGUAAAUAAGGAUACAGACUGCAAUGUCAGGAACUGCUGGGUUAGGAAUUUAUCUGAGGAAACAAACAUUGUUUUACUGACAAUAGCCACUAACAUGUGUACUUCUAGGUAAAUCAAAACUUUAAACCUCUAUGUCUACGUUAUGCUGCAAAUCUCAAAAAUUCUUGUGAGAAUCAGAAGCAUCACUGGGUAGUAUAUGGUCUAACUCACUGAUAGACCUAGGUAGGAAGGCAGGUAUUUGGAGCUUUCUGAAUCAAAGAUUCUGGCUAGUUCAAAAAGGGGUGUGAUGUGUGUGUGUGUGUGUGUGUGUGUGUGUGUGUGUGAUUAUUUGAGAGAAUGUCAGACGAAUCAGAAAAAAACUUCUGAGUGAAAUGCUAUUAACUGAAGACCUGGGUUACCUUCUCUCUAAAUCUCUCUCCUCUUCUUUUCAGACCAGGUAACAGAGUCUUACUCUGGGGUCUAUUCUUCAUUUCCUUGUCUUCUGAACAAAGCAGGUAAUAGGAAAAAUGGUCAAAUCCCUCUGCUCCGAAGGACUGUUCAUACUCACUUCAUGUGGCCUCUUGAUCCAGAAUACUGGAUCACUUAUGCUUAAGAAAUCCUGAAAUUAGAUUCUAAUUAGGCAAUAAAAAUCAACCACCCUGACCAACCUGAGCUUUCAGCCAAGCCUUGGUCUGAUGAUAUAAGUUUUAAGAGAACGGGCAAUUCAUUUUUAUUGUUUAAUGACUUGCUUUCAGGUCUUUAAAAUCACAUGCAUAGUCAAAACCAAGUGAAUAAGUGAUUAUCUGUGCCCCCACCAAAAGGAAAAAAAAAAGAAAAAGAAAAAGAAAAA
Molecule: long non-coding RNA, 6651 nt
Filed under: Sus scrofa (pig)
Lineage: Eukaryota; Metazoa; Chordata; Mammalia; Artiodactyla; Suidae
Description: lncRNA (ENSSSCG00005017943.1)
Source: RNAcentral